UCGAGGAUAUUUAGCAAUGGGCGAAAGCCUGACUAUGUGACGCCGCGUGAGGGAUGAAGGUCUUCGGAUUGUAAACCUCUUUCGAUGGGGAAGAAUACUCCGUUUAACUAACGGAAUUGACGGUACCCAGAGAAGAAGCCAUGGCCAACUCUGUGCCAGCAGCCGCGGUAAUACAGAGAUGGCGAGCGUUACUCGGAUUUAUUGGGUGUAAAGGGCAGGUAGGUGGCUAUGCAAGUUGGGGGUGAAAUCCUGCAGCUUAACUGCAGAACUGCCUUCAAAACUGCAUGGCUUGAGGUCAGAAGAGGAAAGCGGAAUUCCCGGUGUAAGGGUGAAAUCUGUAGAUAUCGGGAGGAACACCAGUGGCGAAGGCGGCUUUCUGGUCUGACCCUGACGCUAAGCU
This 400-nucleotide ribosomal RNA is filed under the name uncultured bacterium. RNAcentral's name for it is "bacterial SSU rRNA". It matches the Rfam family "Bacterial small subunit ribosomal RNA", at positions 355 to 752 of the family's 1533-position model. The record is from RNAcentral.